This 893-nucleotide unclassified non-coding RNA is filed under the name Hevea brasiliensis (rubber tree). The record is from RNAcentral. Lineage: Eukaryota; Viridiplantae; Streptophyta; Magnoliopsida; Malpighiales; Euphorbiaceae.
AUCUUUCUUGCCCAGCAGUAUCCCUGCACAAAUAGAAUAAGAAAUUUCAAACACCAGAACUGCAGGAACAAAAUGGAAGAGACCAUACAUCAUUAUAACCAAUGUAAUGUAACAAUCACUAAUGAGACUUCAUGAGAAAGCAUAAACAGAUGUUCAUUGCCCUAAAGCACGUUAGUUCUUGAGACUUGAGUACAGACCAACAUAAUAUCCUUGACACAACUCAAGCAUGGCUUCAUCUUGGAAAAGGACUACAAUAAAAACAAAACACCCUACAGGUAACAAUCUUGAUACUACAACCACUAAAAACAAUACCGGCAAGGCUGCAAGUAACGGAUCACCCAAUAACGAAUAAUGAUGCCCAAUCUAGGUGUGAGCUACUAUGAGUAGUUUGGACAUUCGCUUCCACAUUUGAUUAAGAGCACUUGCCCAAGUAUAUCCCUUGAUAUUCGGAUCAUCUAAAAAGACAAGGAUUCCAAGAUAAUCGCCACAAUUACAGUCCCAAUCCUAACACUCAUAGGACUCUGAGACAAGGGAAUUUAUACUAAAGCCUAUAUAAAGACCAUCAAAUAAGUACGUGAAUCUCUAAUUGAAUCCUAUUCAUUCACAGCUCAAUUUUCAUGACUAACUUAAGUGAUGGUUAACCCACCCAGUGUUCUCCAUUGUUCUAACUCACCCGGAGUUCUCCAUUGUUGUCUUGUAGAAGAGGAGAACAACAUUAUCAAUUAAUAACUUGUCAUAUUGAAAUAUUUUUUCCAGAAUAAUAACAUUAAUUCCACAUUUUUUCCAUAUUUGGAAUGCCUAGGACAAUUAUUCAAUAGAAAGCGAUUCUUGGCCAAACUAAUAACCGAUCCAUUUUCAAGGAAAAAGCUUUCUGUUUCCACAAGAAAAAGAAU